Potamilus streckersoni is the source of this 77-nucleotide non-coding RNA. Lineage: Eukaryota; Metazoa; Mollusca; Bivalvia; Unionida; Unionidae. The record is from the annotation of a GenBank genome assembly.
GACCGCUCCGGUAGCCUAGUGGUUAGAGCGUCCACUUUGGAUGCGGGAUAUCGUGGAUUCGAUCCCCGGUCGAGUCA